UACGUAGGUGGCAAGCGUUGUCCGGAUUUAUUGGGCGUAAAGGGCGCGUAGGUGGCGGGACAAGCGUGCGGUGAAAGCUCGGGGCUCAACCCCGAGUCGGCCGUGCGAACUGUUUUGCUUGAGCACUGUAGAGGCAGGCGGAAUUCCGGGUGUAGCGGUGGAAUGCGUAGAGAUCCGGAAGAACACCGGUGGCGAAGGCGGCCUGCUGGGCAGUAGCUGACACUGAGGCGCGACAGCGUGGGGAGCAAACAGG
This 253-nucleotide ribosomal RNA is filed under the name uncultured bacterium. RNAcentral describes it as "partial 16S ribosomal RNA". It matches the Rfam family "Bacterial small subunit ribosomal RNA", at positions 524 to 776 of the family's 1533-position model. The record is from RNAcentral.